This 394-nucleotide ribosomal RNA is filed under the name Klebsiella sp. Its description in RNAcentral is "bacterial SSU rRNA". It matches the Rfam family "Bacterial small subunit ribosomal RNA", at positions 66 to 461 of the family's 1533-position model. Lineage: Bacteria; Pseudomonadati; Pseudomonadota; Gammaproteobacteria; Enterobacterales; Enterobacteriaceae. The record is from RNAcentral.
GUAGCACAGAGAGCUUGCUCUCGGGUGACGAGCGGCGGACGGGUGAGUAAUGUCUGGGAAACUGCCUGAUGGAGGGGGAUAACUACUGGAAACGGUAGCUAAUACCGCAUAACGUCUCAAGACCAAAGUGGGGGACCUUCGGGCCUCAUGCCAUCACAUGUGCCCAGAUGGGAUUAGCUGGUAGGUGGGGUAACGGCUCACCUAGGCGACGAUCCCUAGCUGGUCUGACAGGAUGACCAGCCACACUGGAACUGAGACACGGUCCAGACUCCUACGGGAGGCAGCAGUGGGGAAUAUUGCACAAUGGGCGCAAGCCUGAUGCAGCCAUGCCGCGUGUGUGAAGAAGGCCUUCGGGUUGUAAAGCACUUUCAGCGGGGAGGAAGGCGGUAAGGUU